This 437-nucleotide ribosomal RNA is filed under the name Macrococcoides caseolyticum. RNAcentral describes it as "bacterial SSU rRNA". It matches the Rfam family "Bacterial small subunit ribosomal RNA", at positions 21 to 445 of the family's 1533-position model. Lineage: Bacteria; Bacillati; Bacillota; Bacilli; Caryophanales; Staphylococcaceae. The record is from RNAcentral.
GGCUCAGGAUGAACGCUGGCGGCGUGCNUAAUACAUGCAAGUCGAGCGAACGGACAGGAGUGCUUGCACUCCUUGAAGUUAGCGGCGGACGGGUGAGUAACACGUGGGUAACCUACCUAUAAGACUGGGAUAACUUCGGGAAACCGGAGCUAAUACCGGAUAAUAUAUACCUCCGCAUGGAGGAAUAGUCAAAGACGGUUCUGCUGUCACUUAUAGAUGGACCCGCGGUGUAUUAGCUAGUUGGUGAGGUAACGGCUCACCAAGGCAACGAUACAUAGCCGACCUGAGAGGGUGAUCGGCCACACUGGGACUGAGACACGGCCCAGACUCCUACGGGAGGCAGCAGUAGGGAAUCUUCCGCAAUGGACGAAAGUCUGACGGAGCAACGCCGCGUGAGUNAAGAAGGUUUUCGGAUCGUAAAACUCUGUUGUAAAGGG